This 506-nucleotide ribosomal RNA is filed under the name uncultured bacterium. RNAcentral describes it as "bacterial SSU rRNA". It matches the Rfam family "Bacterial small subunit ribosomal RNA", at positions 28 to 525 of the family's 1533-position model. The record is from RNAcentral.
GACGAACGCUGGCGGCGUGGAUUAGGCAUGCAAGUCGAACGGUAUCAUCCUUUCGGGGGUGAGAGAGUGGCGAACUGGUGAGUAACACGUAGGUUAUCUACCCUCAAGACGGGGACAACCCAGGGAAACUUGGGCUAAUACCGGAUGUGAGCAACUUUUAGUUGUUUGAAAGGUGGCGUAAGCUGUCGCUUGGGGAUGAGCCUGCGUCCUAUUAGUUAGUUGGUGAGGUAACGGCUCACCUAGGCAAUGAUAGGUAGGCGGCCUUAACGGGUGGUCGCCCACACUGGGAUUGAGAUACGGCCCAGACUCCUACGGGAGGCAGCAGUCGAGAAUAGUCUACAAUGGUCGGAAGACUGAUAGUGCGACGCCGCGUGAACGAUGAAUCCCUUCGGGGUGUAAAGUUCUUUUAUAUGUGAGCAGUGCUUCUUAUAUUAACAGUAUGGGGAGAGAGAUAUUAGCAUAUGAAAUAAGCAACGGCUAACUCCGUGCCAGCAGCCGCGGUAAUA